UACAGAGGGUGCGAGCGUUAAUCGGAGUUACUGGGCGUAAAGGGCGCGUAGGCGGUCGAAUAAGUAGGGUGUGAAAGCCCCGGGCUUAACCUGGGAAGCGCAUCCUAAACUGUUUGACUGGAGUACAGGAGAGGGUAGCGGAAUUUCCGGUGUAGCGGUGAAAUGCGUAGAUAUCGGAAGGAACGUCAGUGGCGAAGGCGGCUACCUGGACUGAUACUGACGCUGAGGCGCGAAAGCGUGGGGAGCAAACAGG
Molecule: ribosomal RNA, 253 nt
Filed under: uncultured bacterium
Lineage: Bacteria
Description: partial 16S ribosomal RNA
Rfam family: Bacterial small subunit ribosomal RNA
Source: RNAcentral